UCUGAGAUUGUUGUUCUUUCCGAUUCCAGAUCAUGUUUGAGCGGCGGUUACUCAAUAUGCUAAUUUCUUUUCGUGAAAUGGAUAGAGAAAGUAUAAUGAAAAGGCUCAUACAAGCAAGACAGUCAGUAGCACAAGACAAGCAUCCCAGAAACCUUCUGCCACGAUCCACUCAGGACGAUCACAGUUGCCGGUUCAAGGUGUCACCCAACAACGUGCUGCCCUUUGCCUUCCCAUCCUACAGCCCUCCUCAGGGUGACAAGGAGCUGGCUCCUGACGGCCUUGGACUAGUCCCAAUCAAGCCUUCCGAUGUUCAAAUCAAGCACAGCUAUUCCUUCUUCAACUUGCAGAAUGUUGGAGAUCCUUUUUCCCUAAUGUGGCUACAGAC
Molecule: long non-coding RNA, 385 nt
Filed under: Ictidomys tridecemlineatus (thirteen-lined ground squirrel)
Lineage: Eukaryota; Metazoa; Chordata; Mammalia; Rodentia; Sciuridae
Description: lncRNA (ENSSTOG00000027526.2)
Source: RNAcentral